GUCCACGCCCUAAACGAUGUCAACUGGUUGUUGGGAGGGUUUCUUCUCAGUAACGUAGCUAACGCGUGAAGUUGACCGCCUGGGGAGUACGGCCGCAAGGUUGAAACUCAAAGGAAUUGACGGGACCCGCACAAGCGGUGGAUGAUGUGGUUUAAUUCGACGCAACGCGAAAACCUUACCUACCCUUGACAUGCCUGGAAUCCUGCAGAGAUGCAGAAGUGCUCGAAAGAGAACCAGGACACAGGUGCUGCAUGGCCGUCGU
Molecule: ribosomal RNA, 262 nt
Filed under: uncultured bacterium
Lineage: Bacteria
Description: partial 16S ribosomal RNA
Rfam family: Bacterial small subunit ribosomal RNA
Source: RNAcentral